This is an RNA transcript of Panicum virgatum (switchgrass), 1932 nucleotides long. It is a transcript of the gene named armadillo repeat-containing protein 7-like, with no coding region annotated. The transcript has 7 exons. Lineage: Eukaryota; Viridiplantae; Streptophyta; Magnoliopsida; Poales; Poaceae. The record is from RefSeq and is a predicted model, not a curated record.
ACUUCUUUCUCACAUUCAGUUUCAUGAUUCCAUCUCAAUUUCACUUCUGAAUUCAAACAUUGAGUGAUGAAUUGAAUAAUUGGUGCAUGCAUUUGUAUUGUUGUUGUGUGUUGUCAUGAAGUUUAGCUCUCUAUUAAGUGAUUAAUUAAUUGUAAUAUAUUCGUAUUCUGAACUAGUUUGUUGAUUUCAACGUAUUAUAUGACCUUUUAAUUAUGUUAUUGUAAAUUUGGUGACCGUAUUGUUACUAAGUGCUAUUAGAUUUUACUGGAAUGCUUUAAAUUUUUUUGCCAGACCUACCCUAGUUUCAAAUUCUAGGUCCGCCACUGAUUCUAAGCCUGGCUAGGCUAGCCAACAGAACCGUAAAGACCCAAUCUACUGCAAGAAGGUAUUCAGAGCAAGCAGUUUCAACACUUCCUCGCUCACAUUGGGUGGUUGCUCCUCAAAAAGUACAUCUGAAGUACUAUAAAUUUUACAGUGUUUUGGUCUUUAAAAAAAUUACAGUGUUUGGGAAUUACUAUAGUAAUCCACGAGCCCCAUCCAAUGUUAAAUAAAUAAAGCUAUAUUGGUAUUUUCAUAGUAUCCAGGUUCCUUCAAGCACCCUAACAAACUUCUUGAAGUAAAAUAUUUUUGUUAAUAAUUUGGGUGGGUUGGGCACUUUGGGCUUGUACUUAUACUUGGCGGAGGCUAAAAAAAUCAGCUAAUCCCAAGCCCAUCCCAGUCUCAGAUACACCGAAGUGAAGCCCACACAAAAAUUCUGGUGAGUUCUUCGUUGAGCUGCCGGGCCGGUCUCCUUGAGCCUCGUUACCUCGCUGUUCGCCGGCGACCCACUGGGGCUGACAGGAGAAGGAAGUCGCUGCGGCUUCCAAAGGGAAAUCACGGGGUUGUGUUGUGCCUGGAUGAGAUCAAUGUUCACAAACGUGCAGCGCCAGGUCGAGCGCACCGGCCGCUCCGGCACUCCGCGGGACAAGUACCUUCAGGAUCUUGUGUCUCAGUUCCAGAACGCCACAGAUGAAGAGUCUAAGGAGAAGAUAGCGGCAAACUUGGCAAAUUUCGCGUACGACCCUUUUAAUUAUGCAUUCAUGCGUCAGCUGAAUGUUCUUGAGUUAUUCUUGGACUGCAUUACAGAGCCAAAUGAAAGGCUUAUCGAGUUUGGUAUUGGUGGAAUUUGUAACUCAUGUGUUGAUCCGGCAAAUGCUUUAGUCAUUGUUCAAUGCGGCGGAAUCCCAUUGAUUAUACAAUGCUUAUCAAGCCCGGUGCGGAACACUGUGAGUAUUUCUGAAGCUAGCAAAAGGAGGUUUUGUUCUUUAGGUGACUUAUGCACUUGGGGCUUUGUAUUAUCUAUGCAACCCUGCGACAAAGAAAGAGAUCCUGAAACCUGAUGUAGUUAGGAUUAUAAGAGAGUAUGCUGCAGCAGGAGCUGUUAACACCAGCUUCAGCAACAUGGCUAAUGCUUUCCUGGAGAAGCAUGUUGACCAUGACCUCGAGGGUGCUAUGCAAAGGUGCCAUAAUGUCAUGUUCACAGAAAUUGGCAUUAUGAAAGAGGGAGUAAAAUGGAAGGAGGCUUCAAGACCAGAAUUGAAAUUCUGCUGUGCAUCCAUAUCUGAUGCUUACUCAAGCAGCUAGCUUAUUCCUUGAUGAGAGAACGACGCCCAUAAGGCCUGGCUGAACAAUGAAUUCCUGCUCUUCAGCAGGAACAUUUCCCUGGUUUUCUAUACUUAUAGUUCAGUUAUCUGUCCAAGUAAUUUGGUAAUACCAACAAUUUUCUGUUCUUGAAUUGCCAGCUUGACAUCUGCGCUGGCAAUGCUAUCCAACGAAUACUCACUGAAGUCAAUGUAGCUGUCAUGGGUUAUUCUUCCUUUUCGGUCUCUGGCAGAACAUGUAAUUUAAAGACUCUGCAAUGUAGCUUCAAAGAGUUCAUUUUCCGUUUUCCAU